UGGGGAAUAUUGGACAAUGGGCGCAAGCCUGAUCCAGCCAUGCCGCGUGAGUGAUGAAGGCCCUAGGGUUGUAAAGCUCUUUCACCGGUGAAGAUAAUGACGGUAACCGGAGAAGAAGCCCCGGCUAACUUCGUGCCAGCAGCCGCGGUAAUACGAAGGGGGCUAGCGUUGUUCGGAUUUACUGGGCGUAAAGCGCACGUAGGCGGACUAUUAAGUCAGGGGUGAAAUCCCGGGGCUCAACCCCGGAACUGCCUUUGAUACUGGUAGUCUUGAGUUCGAGAGAAGUGAGGGGAAUUCCGAGUGUAGAAGUGAAACUCGUAGAUAUUCGGAGGAACACCAGUAGCGAAGGCGGCUCACUGGCUCGAUACAGACGCUGAGGUGCGAAAGCGUGGGGAGCAAACAGG
Molecule: ribosomal RNA, 404 nt
Filed under: Actinomycetes bacterium
Lineage: Bacteria; Bacillati; Actinomycetota; Actinomycetes
Description: Actinobacteria bacterium partial 16S ribosomal RNA
Rfam family: Bacterial small subunit ribosomal RNA
Source: RNAcentral